GGACCUCUAGCCUGCAGGCCUUUGUGACGGACUUUGUUCAGAAUAUAUUUCUGGGUCAGGUUCAUUACACGGUGUCUACCAGUAUUAGUUCUGCCACUAAAGAUUUAAUCCGCUACUACAAAAAUCCUCAGAGUUUUGAUGCCUUGAGACAUGUUGUGGAUCAUAAAACACAGAAAGAACUCGGUGUAUCGAGACCUUUAUUGACAAGCACAGUGACAGUGGAUAAGAAUCUACAAGAGCUGCGGGGAAAUGAUGCAGGAUCUUCCAGACUAUGCAGACCAAUUCCUAAAUGAUCUGUAACACACUGAAAAAAUACAAAGAUACCUGUCACUCAGCAUACAGGGAAAUUGUCCAGUAUGACUCUGAUGACAGGCGGGUUAUCAGUGCUAUGUGGGCUAAAGAUGAAGACAUCAGUCGAUUCC
Long non-coding RNA from Saccostrea cuccullata (small rock oyster), 422 nucleotides. RefSeq lists it as uncharacterized. Lineage: Eukaryota; Metazoa; Mollusca; Bivalvia; Ostreida; Ostreidae. The transcript is spliced from 5 exons. The record is from RefSeq and is a predicted model, not a curated record.